This 67-nucleotide transfer RNA is filed under the name Pseudocleopatra dartevellei. Its description in RNAcentral is "tRNA-Ser". It matches the Rfam family "tRNA". From Rfam's summary of the family: Transfer RNA (tRNA) molecules are approximately 80 nucleotides in length. Their secondary structure includes four short double-helical elements and three loops (D, anti-codon, and T loops). Lineage: Eukaryota; Metazoa; Mollusca; Gastropoda; Paludomidae. The record is from RNAcentral.
GGUUGUUUGCCUCGGAGGCCUUUUGUCUUGAAAACAAUUUUUAAGUGUUCGACUCGCUUAACAACCU